AACGAACGCUGGCGGCAUGCCUAACACAUGCAAGUCGAACGAGACCUUCGGGUCUAGUGGCGCACGGGUGCGUAACGCGUGGGAACCUGCCCUUAGGUUCGGAAUAACUCCCCGAAAGGGGUGCUAAUACCGGAUAAUGUCUUCGGCCCAAAGAUUUAUCGCCUUUGGAUGGGCCCGCGUUGGAUUAGCUAGUUGGUAGGGUAAAAGCCUACCAAGGCGACGAUCCAUAGCUGGUCUGAGAGGAUGAUCAGCCACACUGGGACUGGGACGCGGCCCAGACUCCUACGGGAGGCAGCAGUGGGGAAUAUUGGACAAUGGGCGAAAGCCUGAUCCAGCAAUGCCGCGUGAGUGAUGAAGGCCUUAGGGUUGUAAAGCUCUUUUACCCGGGAUGAUAAUGACAGUACCGGGAGAAUAAGCUCCGGCUAACUCCGUG
This 433-nucleotide ribosomal RNA is filed under the name uncultured bacterium. Its description in RNAcentral is "partial 16S ribosomal RNA". It matches the Rfam family "Bacterial small subunit ribosomal RNA", at positions 29 to 507 of the family's 1533-position model. The record is from RNAcentral.